GACGAACGCUGGCGGCGUGCUUAACACAUGCAAGUCGAACGAUGAAGCCUUUCGGGGUGGAUUAGUGGCGAACGGGUGAGUAACACGUGGGCAAUCUGCCCUGUACUUUGGGAUAAGCCUUGGAAACGGGGUCUAAUACCGGAUAUCACUUACCUCCGCAUGGGGGUUUGUUGAAAGUUCUGGCGGUACAGGAUGAGCCCGCGGCCUAUCAGCUUGUUGGUGGGGUAGUGGCCUACCAAGGCGACGACGGGUAGCCGGCCUGAGAGGGUGACCGGCCACACUGGGACUGAGACACGGCCCA
This 301-nucleotide ribosomal RNA is filed under the name uncultured bacterium. RNAcentral describes it as "bacterial SSU rRNA". It matches the Rfam family "Bacterial small subunit ribosomal RNA", at positions 28 to 333 of the family's 1533-position model. The record is from RNAcentral.